RNAcentral lists this ribosomal RNA (253 nucleotides) under uncultured bacterium. Its description in RNAcentral is "partial 16S ribosomal RNA". It matches the Rfam family "Bacterial small subunit ribosomal RNA", at positions 524 to 776 of the family's 1533-position model. The record is from RNAcentral.
UACGUAGGUGGCAAGCGUUGUCCGGAUUUACUGGGCGUAAAGAGCGCGCAGGCGGCUGGUCAAGUCCGAUGUGAAAUCUCCCGGCUCAACUGGGAAACUGCAUCGGAAACUGAUCGGCUUGAAGGUGGGAGAGGGUAGUGGAAUUCCCGGUGUAGUGGUGAAAUGCGUAGAUAUCUGGAGGAAUACCGGUGGCGAAGGCGGCAUCCUGGACCGACAUUGACGCUGAGGAGCGAAAGCUAGGGGAGCAAACGGG